RNAcentral lists this ribosomal RNA (305 nucleotides) under uncultured bacterium. RNAcentral describes it as "partial 16S ribosomal RNA". It matches the Rfam family "Bacterial small subunit ribosomal RNA", at positions 335 to 657 of the family's 1533-position model. The record is from RNAcentral.
GGGCCUACGGGGCGCAGCAGUGGGGAAUAUUGCGCAAUGGGGGAAACCCUGAUGCAGCGACGCCGCGUGGGUGAAGGAGCGUUUCGGCGCGUAAAGCCCUAUCGGCAGGGAAGAAGAUGACGGUACCUGACCAAGAAGCCCCGGCUAACUACGUGCCAGCAGCCGCGGUAAUACGUAGGGGGCAAGCGUUAUCCGGAUUUACUGGGGGUAAAGGGGGCGCAGACGGCAAUGCAAGCCAGGAGUGAAAGCCCCGGGCCCAACCCCGGGGCUGCUCUUGGAACUGCAUGGCUGGAGUACAGGGGGGG